AUAAAAAGGGUAUUUUUUAUUUAUAUAUGAGAACUUAUAUUUGGAUUUGAAACUCAAAUUUAAAAAGGCUAAAUUACAGAAAAUUUUCCUGUCAAAAUCCGAUUUUUCACUCCCCCCUAUUAUUUAAAAACAUACACUUUGUCCUCUUGUAAAAUAUAAAAUGUAAAAUGAAAAAUGUUCACAGGGGGUACGGUGUGAAUUGUGAUGAUAAAAUGACCAUUUUGCCCCUCACCAUUUUGCCCUUCACUAUGUUCACAGGAGAGAAGAUUAAGGGCAUUUUUGGCAUAAAAAAGUAUAUAAUAAUAUUUUAUAAACGGAAUCCUAACGGAUUACUAACAGCAGAGGGCGAAGUGAACAUUUUCAUUUUACAAGGGGGUAAAGUGUAGGUUUUUAAAUGAUGGGGAGGAAAGUGAAAAAUUGGGUUUUGAUAGGAGGGUUUUAUGUAAUUUAGCCAUUUAAAAAUGUGAUUUCGGG
RNAcentral lists this long non-coding RNA (474 nucleotides) under Ananas comosus (pineapple). RNAcentral's name for it is "long non-coding RNA (ACOM_LNC031396)". Lineage: Eukaryota; Viridiplantae; Streptophyta; Magnoliopsida; Poales; Bromeliaceae. The record is from RNAcentral.